Monodelphis domestica (gray short-tailed opossum) is the source of this 649-nucleotide long non-coding RNA. RefSeq lists it as uncharacterized. NCBI's taxonomy places the organism in Eukaryota, Metazoa, Chordata, Mammalia, Didelphimorphia, Didelphidae. The record is from RefSeq and is a predicted model, not a curated record.
GCUAUCAUCAUCAUCCCUAUGGAGGAGGCAACACAUGAGCUUGGGAAUUGAGGCAGGAUCGCGCAGCUAACUGUCUGAAGCAGGAUUUAAAUCCAGACCUUUCCAAAUCCAAGGCCAUAGCUCUACUAUGCUGAAGCCUAACCUUCUAGGCCUUCUUCCUUCACACCGUUUCUCUCCCUGCCCUAACUCUAUCACAGGGCCCACAGACUUCAUGCCCAGAAGAUUCCUCUACACUGCUGAGGCCCCCUGAAUCACACAUUCCUGAGAACUGAGCACCCAGGCCCCACUGUUUGCUGGCUCUGCUCCUAGCAUAAUAGACAUUUCCAGUUUUGAAGUCUGUCGCCUCAUCAAAUAGAAACACCUUGAAGCAAGUAAGAACACAUAAAAGAGUUUUCAGCAAAAAGACAGAAUGCAGAACGAACCUACUGCCCAAGUCGCUCAGUUAUCACAAGAAAGCGGGCAAGUCAAGAGGAACAGAAACUUUCAUCAAGAGGAAUGGAAGACCAUCAGGUCUGAAGAGCUGGCUUUGUCCCUUGGUCUGGGAAUGCAUAUGUGGGGUGUGUGUAAAGAACUUCACGAUCUAUUCUGUCCACUGAGAGAGUUGGGACAGUUUUCCAAUAAAGUAGACAUCAUGCUUUCUUUGAUUUUG